AUAAGUCUCCACAGAUAGUAUCAGCGACGUUUGAUGACACUAACGACGGAAAGUAUUCAUGUCAGCAGUACUGUCAAUCAUCACAAUACUUUUCUUUUGAGGAUGGUGCGUGUUACUGUCUAGAUGUAACCGGUUCUCCUGUUUUACAUUCAUAUUGUCAAACAUCGAGUCAAACAACGAGUUAUGUGGUUGUCUAUAAACAAAAUAUACCUGGAGUAAAGAGAACAUUAGAUAACACACCAGAAGAUCAACUAAAAUGUAUGUCAGCUCAGUGUCAGGAUGGAGAAAUCAUUCUCAGAUCAGAAAACUGCAACAGUUCUUAUGAAGGAAUAUGUGAAUCUGGGUUAAACAAUGGAAACUUUACAACACAACAAAGCGCUGCUACGUUAUGUGACAACGCUGAUUCAUUUUUGCAGUGGUACAAUAACAAAUCCUUUUGUGACACUGAAAAAACUAACCAAUUAUGGACCAGUGCAACACGUGAUAUCUUUACACGUGAUCUAACAA
Molecule: long non-coding RNA, 507 nt
Organism: Mytilus californianus (California mussel)
Lineage: Eukaryota; Metazoa; Mollusca; Bivalvia; Mytilida; Mytilidae
Exons: 4
Source: RefSeq, a predicted model, not a curated record